UGGAAAUGCCCCGUUUAAGGUCAACACCAGUGAUGUCCUGCGUUUACAACUCCUCAUUCGACCCUUCAGGGCGCUUAUUUCUGGCAGAAGCAGCUCUUGGUUUUAAAAGGAUGCUCACUGUUUUCUGGAGCCUGCUGGCCCCUACCGGAUUCCUGUAUGUUGGGAAGAUCUGAGAUUCCAUCCACCUGGCUUCCAGCCUAGACGCGCAACAGAUGCAUGGCAGUUUAUGAGCGAGAGCCUCACCGAGCAGCACCUGCACCCCGUUGCUAAGAGAGAAUAACAGCACUGACCUGCCCCGCCGAGAGAGGUGUCAUACGCCUUAACCGUCUAAUGAUGCUAAUGCUCUUUGAGAAUAUAAAC
Molecule: long non-coding RNA, 360 nt
Filed under: Fukomys damarensis (Damara mole-rat)
Lineage: Eukaryota; Metazoa; Chordata; Mammalia; Rodentia; Bathyergidae
Description: lncRNA (ENSFDAG00000028708.1)
Source: RNAcentral